Molecule: ribosomal RNA, 495 nt
Filed under: uncultured bacterium
Lineage: Bacteria
Description: partial 16S ribosomal RNA
Rfam family: Bacterial small subunit ribosomal RNA
Source: RNAcentral
GACGAACGCUGGCGGCGUGCCUAAUACAUGCAAGUAGAACGCUGAAGGAGGAGCUUGCUUCUCUGGAUGAGUUGCGAACGGGUGAGUAACGCGUAGGUAACCUGCCUGGUAGCGGGGGAUAACUAUUGGAAACGAUAGCUAAUACCGCAUAAGAGUAGAUGUUGCAUGACAUUUGCUUAAAAGGUGCAAUUGCAUCACUACCAGAUGGACCUGCGUUGUAUUAGCUAGUUGGUGAGGUAACGGCUCACCAAGGCGACGAUACAUAGCCGACCUGAGAGGGUGAUCGGCCACGCUGGGACUGAGACACGGCCCAGACUCCUACGGGAGGCAGCAGUAGGGAAUCUUCGGCAAUGGACGGAAGUCUGACCGAGCAACGCCGCGUGAGUGAAGAAGGUUUUCGGAUCGUAAAGCUCUGUUGUAAGAGAAGAACGAGUGUGAGAGUGGAAAGUUCACACUGUGACGGUAUCUUACCAGAAAGGGACGGCUAACUACGUG